Molecule: ribosomal RNA, 503 nt
Filed under: uncultured bacterium
Lineage: Bacteria
Description: bacterial SSU rRNA
Rfam family: Bacterial small subunit ribosomal RNA
Source: RNAcentral
GACGAACGCUGGCGGCGUGGAUUAGGCAUGCAAGUCGAACGGUAUCAUCCUUUCGGGGGUGAGAGAGUGGCGAACUGGUGAGUAACACGUAGGUUAUCUACCCUCAAGACGGGGACAACCCAGGGAAACUUGGGCUAAUACCGGAUGUGAGCAACUUUUAGUUGUUUGAAAGGUGGCGUAAGCUGUCGCUUUGGGGAUGAGCCUGCGUCCUAUUAGUUAGUUGGUGAGGUAACGGCUCACCUAGGCAAUGAUAGGUAGGCGGCCUUAACGGGUGGUCGCCCACACUGGGAUUGAGAUACGGCCCAGACUCCGUACGGGAGGCAGCAGUCGAGAAUAGUCUACAAUGGUCGGAAGACUGAUAGUGCGACGCCGCGUGAACGAUGAAUCCCUUCGGGGUGUAAAGUUCUUUUAUAUGUGAGCAGUGCUUCUUAUAUUAACAGUAUGGGGAGAGAGAUAUUAGCAUAUGAAUAAGCAACGGCUAACUCCGUGCCAGCAGCCGCGGU